AUUGAACGCUGGCGGAAUGCUUUACACAUGCAAGUCGAACGAUGAACCUUAGCUUGCUAAGGGGAUUAGUGGCGAACGGGUGAGUAAUAUAUCGGAACGUGCCUUGUAAUGGGGGAUAACUAGUCGAAAGAUUAGCUAAUACCGCAUACGCCCUGAGGGGGAAAGUAGGGGAUCUUCGGACCUUACGUUAUAAGAGCGGCCGAUAUCUGAUUAGCUAGUUGGUGGGGUAAUGGCCUACCAAGGCGACGAUCAGUAGCUGGUCUGAGAGGACGACCAGCCACACUGGAACCGAGACACGGUCCAGACUCCUACGGGAGGCAGCUGUGGGGAAUUUUGGACAAUGGGCGCAAGCCUGAUCCAGCCAUUCCGCGUGAGUGAAGAAGGCCUUCGGGUUGUAAAGCUCUUUCGCAAGGGAAGAAAACUUACCAUCGAAUAAAUGGUGAGGCUGACGGUACCUUGAUAAGAAGCACCGGCUAACUACGUG
RNAcentral lists this ribosomal RNA (484 nucleotides) under uncultured bacterium. Its description in RNAcentral is "partial 16S ribosomal RNA". It matches the Rfam family "Bacterial small subunit ribosomal RNA", at positions 30 to 507 of the family's 1533-position model. The record is from RNAcentral.